This 1251-nucleotide long non-coding RNA is filed under the name Calidris pugnax (ruff). Its description in RNAcentral is "lncRNA (ENSCPUG00000019865.1)". The record is from RNAcentral. Lineage: Eukaryota; Metazoa; Chordata; Aves; Charadriiformes; Scolopacidae.
AGCCACCAGCCCCAAGGACCUGUCACCACCUCCAGGGACAUCUCAGCGUGGCCACCAGUUCCUUACACCUCGCCAACAUGAGCACCGGCUCUGGGGACACUUCACUGUGGCCACCACCUCCAGGGACGUGUCACCAUAGUCACCAGCUUCAGGGACACCUCACCACCAUGGCCACCAGCUUCAAAGACGUGUCACCAUCACGGGCACCAGCUCUGGGGAUGCCUCACCAUGGGCACCAGUUCCAAGAUGUCACCACUUUAGGCACCAGCUCUGUGGCCACCUCACCAUGGUCACCAACUUGGGGGACACCUUACCACGAGCACCAUCUCCAUGGACACCUCACCAACAUGGCCACCAGCUCCAGGGACACCUCACCACAGGCCCCAGCUCUGGGGACACGCCCCACCGCCAUGGACACCAGCUCCAAGAUGUGUCACUAUGAUGGGUAUGAGCCCUGGGGACACUUCACCAUGGGCCCCAUCUCCAUGGAGACCUUGCUACCAUGGUCACCGGCUCUUGGGCCGUUACUACAGGCCCCUGGGACAUGUCACCAUGGCCACCAGCUCUGGGGACACCUCACUGUGGUCACCAGCUCCGGGAGCUGGUACCAGCUCACUGUGACCACUGUCUCUGGGGACACCCUCCCAUGGGCACCAGCUCUAGGGACACGUCACCACCAUGGGCACCAGCUCCAAGGAUACGGCACCACCAUCGGUACAAGCCCUGGAGACAUCUCCCCGUGGGCACCAGCUUUGGGGACACCUCACCACAGGCACCAUCUCCAUGGGCACCUCACCAACAUGGCCACCAGCUUUGGGGACAUCUCACCACAGGCACCAUCUCCAUGGACACCUCACCAACAUGGCCACCAGCUCCAGGGACACCUCAUCACAGGCACCAUCUCCAUGGACACCUCACCAACAUGGCCACCAGCUCCAGGGACAUCUCACCACAGUCCCCAGCUUUGGGGACACACCCCACCGCCAUGGACACCAGCUCCAAGAUGUGUCACCAUGAUGGGUAUGAGCCCUGGGGACACUUCACCAUGGGCCCCAUCUCCAUGGAGACCUUGCUACCAUGGUCACCAGCCCUUGGGACACCAUCUCCACAGGCAGGUGUCCCCUCCUGUCCUCCCCCCACCAUCUCACACACUUUGGGGCCCUGAGUGCUGGGGUUUUGGGGUCCCACCUCCACCGUGGGCUCUGGGCACGGNNNNNNNNNNNNNNNNNNNNNNNNNNNNNNNNNNNNNNN